Molecule: long non-coding RNA, 369 nt
Filed under: Ananas comosus (pineapple)
Lineage: Eukaryota; Viridiplantae; Streptophyta; Magnoliopsida; Poales; Bromeliaceae
Description: long non-coding RNA (ACOM_LNC032714)
Source: RNAcentral
ACUCGUUUAAUAAACGAUCUAAAUAUAAACUGAAUUUUUCAACUCAAAAUCCUAACGAACCAAACAUAAACUAGGAUCAGCUCACUCAUGUUCGGCUUGAUAUUGCUUGAAUAUAUACAUAUAUACUAUAAAAUUUUACUAUUUGAAUUUUUUGCCAACUAAAGUGUAAAAAAAACCAAUAUUUUGAAAUUUUUAAUUAUUAGAUUAAGAUUUUUUAAAAAAAAAACUUUUUGUCGAAAAGUAUUUGCAAGCCUGCUCGUGUUCGGCUCGUUAAUAAACAAGCCGAAUACAAGCUGAAUUUUUCAACUCGCUAUUUUAACAAGCCAACUCGUGAUGAGACUUUAAUAAAAGGACGAAUAUGAGCCUAUC